AGCUGACUGUGGCUCACUCAGAUCAUGAACUCCUUAUUGCCAAAUUCAGACUUAAAUUGAAGAAAAUAGGGAAAACCACUAGAACAUUCAAAUAUGACCUAAAUCAAAUCCCUUACAAUUAUAUAAUAGAAGUAACAAAUAAAUUCAAGGGAUUAGAUCUGAUAGACAGAGUG
Cervus elaphus (red deer) is the source of this 173-nucleotide long non-coding RNA. RefSeq lists it as uncharacterized. The transcript is spliced from 3 exons. Lineage: Eukaryota; Metazoa; Chordata; Mammalia; Artiodactyla; Cervidae. The record is from RefSeq and is a predicted model, not a curated record.